This is a long non-coding RNA of Anguilla anguilla (European eel), 1988 nucleotides long. RefSeq lists it as uncharacterized. The record is from RefSeq and is a predicted model, not a curated record. The transcript is spliced from 3 exons. Lineage: Eukaryota; Metazoa; Chordata; Actinopteri; Anguilliformes; Anguillidae.
CAAAAAAAGGAGGCAGACCGUCAGGAGCAGCUGGCUGAGAGAGAGAGAAGGGGAGAGACAGAGAGAGAGAGAGAGAGAGAGAGAGAGAGAGGGAGCUGUAGACAAAAAGAGACAGAGCAAUACACAGAAGAGGAGUGCAAGGAAAUCCUAAGAAGUAAAACAAGGCCAGAAGACUUUCUCUUCAGUAGACAGCACAGAAAAGAGCACAACAAACUCUAGCACAACACAAACCAGCUGUAAGAAUGUGCUCCAGUCUUGCUCAGAAGUGAGAGAAGCUGAUCAAAUGAAGACCUGAAAACAUAAAAGACCGCAGAGAGUGACACUGAGAGAAACCAAGCAGGAAGGUCUUCCUUAAAGACAAACAAACAAACAAAAAACAAGCUGAACUGAUCGCAGCUCUUGCAGAGCCAAUGGGAUGUUUUGUCCGUGAGACUUGACUGCUGACCACUAAGAGCAGAACAAGUCCAAACCUGCACCGAGGGAAACUUUCACAGCUGGCUUACUGCUAACUUUAACAUCUUUCUCCAAAAAAACCACAGAAAACUGGCACAAAUUCCCACAGUGGCUUAGGUGUUGCUCAGCAUGGAUGCCAGGGAGGAAGUGUUGGGCAUGCUUAACAAAGCGUGGGCCAAGCUGCAGGGCCUACCUAAUGCCAACCCCCUGGAUUUGGGAGCGUUCCUUGUCAUCAUAAUCUUCAUUGUCACCUUCCUGCUCUUGGUUGUGAUGACAUGUAUACACUGCUGCUGCUGCGGCAAGCAGAAGUACCAGGCCUCCCGUGUAGAGCCACUCUGAGGACAAGGAGCCCUCACCUUGGAAGGAGGACACAGAGCUGAGCCAAUCUGACCUGUGUGUGUGUGUGUGUGUGUGGGAGAGUGCGUGCGUGCGUGCCUACGUGCACAAGAGAGUGAGGUAAUUGUGGCUGGAGUCCAUUUAGUACAUUACAGCAAGAGAGGCACCAAGGAAUUCUACAGUUAUCUCUUCGGUAGUAUUGAACUGCUGCAGCCACCUCCCUGAAAACACACAGACAUUCUGUGCACAGGAGAGAAUGCCAAAAUGCACCUCUGUAUUGCCUGAGAGGGAGGAAACCAGCUGGACUGUUGCCUGGUUGGUAGAACACUAAAAGAUAUGUACAUAUAACUGACACACAAUCUGCCAUAAAAUGAUUAGCAAUGCGGUCCAAUAUGCUUUAAAAUUUUGGAAGGACACAGGGUCAAAAUAUUUCACUUUCAGCCCAUAACUGUAUGUCUGUUUGCAUUUCUGUAUGAAAAGUCUCUCUCAGUUGUAAUGCGACACUUUAAACGAAACUGAAUGAUUUUGUUUUGAGGAAAAUACUGAAUCAUGGACAGUGCUGCCCUCUGCUGUACAUAGUUUAAAUAACAGCUCAGGAACUUUUGACGUACACUUAACUCCACAGACACGUAACUGCCAACUUCUAUAAAUAAAUGAUAAUAAAACUGCCUCAUAAAUAGCUUUACGUGAAGGAUUCUGACGCCCAAAAAAAUUCCUGCUAUCGCAUAUGCUGCCAAAUAUUAGACACAAUCAGGGAAGUUCACAGAAAACAGACUAGGGCAGAAAGGGAAAACUAAAGGUCCAGCUUCAGAAAAAGGGAACAAGCAACAAUUCUUCACAAGAAAAUUAAGAUGCAGUUAACAGGCACCACAUCAACUGGGAUAAUGACUUACACCAGCAAAAUGCCAAGACUAUUUCUGUUCAACUGAAGUUAACAUAUGUCCUGGUUAUGCCACACACUGCACUUUUACUAUUUUUAACAAAGAGGCAGGACUGGACUUCCCCUGGUCCUCUGUACAGUAUUGAGUGUAUAGUGCUAGUUUUUCAAUAUCUGCUUGUCUAAGAUGAUAUCAUCUCUUACAGUACAUACUGUGUUUUAUUUUUGUAUAUCAUGUGCACGCGCGUAUAUUCUUCGUCAUGUUAAUGUACAUUGGCCUAGCUUUACAUUGUGUUUACUAAGUGCAAAUAAAGUUUUACUU